This 468-nucleotide ribosomal RNA is filed under the name uncultured bacterium. RNAcentral describes it as "partial 16S ribosomal RNA". It matches the Rfam family "Bacterial small subunit ribosomal RNA", at positions 28 to 507 of the family's 1533-position model. The record is from RNAcentral.
GACGAACGCUGGCGGCGUGCUUAACACAUGCAAGUCGAACGGAAAGGCCCUGCUUUUGUGGGGUUCUCGAUUGGCGAACGGGUGAGUAACACGUGAGUAACCUGCCCUUGACUUUGUGAUAACUUCAGGAAACUGGGGCUAAUACCCGAUAGGAGCUCCUGCUGCAUGGUGUGGGUUGGAAAAUUUCGGCGGUUGGGUAUGGACUCGCGGCUUAUCAGCUUGUUGGUGGGGUAGUGGCUUACCAAGGCUUUGACGGGUAGCCGGCCUGAGAGGGUGAACGGCCACAUUGGGACUGAGAUACGGCGCAGAAGCGUACGGGACGCAGCAGUGGGGAAUAUUGCAGAAUGGGGGGAAGCCUGAUGCAGAAACGCCGCGUGCGGGAUGACGGCCUUCGGGUUGUAAACCGCUUUCGCAUGUGACGAAGCGUGAGUGACGGUAAUGGGUAAAGAAGCAACGGCUAACUACGUG